UUAAAUUGAAGAGUUUGAUCAUGGCUCAGAUUGAACGCUGGCGGCAGGCCUAACACAUGCAAGUCGAGCGGCAGCGGGAAAGUAGCUUUCUACUUUUGCCGGCGAGCGGCGGACGGGUGAGUAAUGCCUGGGGAUCUGCCCAGUCGAGGGGGAUAACAGUUGGAAACGACUGCUAAUACCGCAUACGCCCUACGGGG
Molecule: ribosomal RNA, 197 nt
Filed under: Aeromonas salmonicida subsp. salmonicida
Lineage: Bacteria; Pseudomonadati; Pseudomonadota; Gammaproteobacteria; Aeromonadales; Aeromonadaceae
Description: partial 16S ribosomal RNA
Rfam family: Bacterial small subunit ribosomal RNA
Source: RNAcentral